RNAcentral lists this ribosomal RNA (317 nucleotides) under uncultured bacterium. RNAcentral's name for it is "bacterial SSU rRNA". It matches the Rfam family "Bacterial small subunit ribosomal RNA", at positions 37 to 334 of the family's 1533-position model. The record is from RNAcentral.
GAUCGAACGGCGUAGCGACAGGCUUAACACAUGCAAGUCGAGGGGCGAGCGACGGUAGUAGCGAUACACUGGUGGCGACCGGCGCACGGGUGAGUAACACGUGUGCAACCAACCCCGUACCGGGAGAUAACCCGCGGAAACGUGGACUAACAUCCCAUGAUACUCGAGAGCCGCAUGGCUCUAGAUUUAAAAUUCCGGUGGUACGGGACGGGCACGCGCGACAUUAGGUAGUUGGCGGGGUAAGGGCCCACCAAGCCGACGAUGUCUAGGGGUUCUGAGAGGAAGGUCCCCCACACUGGAACUGAGACACGGUCCAG